This 100-nucleotide microRNA precursor is filed under the name Lepisosteus oculatus (spotted gar). RNAcentral describes it as "miRNA (ENSLOCG00000019666.1)". The stretch from base 8 to 87 matches the Rfam family "mir-27 microRNA precursor family". Lineage: Eukaryota; Metazoa; Chordata; Actinopteri; Semionotiformes; Lepisosteidae. The record is from RNAcentral.
CCCUUUCUGAAGGCACAGAGCUUAGCUAAUUGGCGAGCAUUGUUCCUAUCAAUAUAUUGUUCACAGUGGCUAAGUUCAGUGCCCGAAGUGAAACAGUGGA